This 381-nucleotide unclassified non-coding RNA is filed under the name uncultured Pseudomonadota bacterium. RNAcentral describes it as "uncultured proteobacterium contains 16S-23S intergenic spacer region". Lineage: Bacteria; Pseudomonadati; Pseudomonadota. The record is from RNAcentral.
UCUCGGCUUAUCACCGGCAGUCCCCUUAGAGUGCCCAACUUAAUGCUGGCAACUAAGGGCGAGGGUUGCGCUCGUUGCGGGACUUAACCCAACAUCUCACGACACGAGCUGACGACAGCCAUGCAGCACCUGUGUCGGCUCCUCUUACGAGGUCGGUCCCCUUUCGGUUUCCUACCACCGACAUGUCAAACCCAGGUAAGGUUUUUCGCGUUGCGUCGAAUUGAACCACAUGCUCCACCGCUUGUGCGGGUCCCCGUCAAUUCCUUUGAGUUUUAGCCUUGCGGCCGUACUCCCCAGGCGGGAUGCUUAAUGCGUUAACUGCGUUGCCGCAGGGGUCAAUACCCGCGACGACUAGCAUCCAUCGUUUACGGCGUGGACUAC